RNAcentral lists this ribosomal RNA (493 nucleotides) under uncultured bacterium. RNAcentral describes it as "partial 16S ribosomal RNA". It matches the Rfam family "Bacterial small subunit ribosomal RNA", at positions 29 to 523 of the family's 1533-position model. The record is from RNAcentral.
AUUGAACGCUGGCGGCAUGCUUUACACAUGCAAGUCGAACGGUAACAGGUUAAGCUGACGAGUGGCGAACGGGUGAGUAAUGCAUCGGAACGUGCCCGAUCGUGGGGGAUAACACUUCGAAAGAAGUGCUAAUACCGCAUACGAUCUGAGGAUGAAAGCGGGGGACCGUAAGGCCUCGCGCGAUCGGAGCGGCCGAUGUCAGAUUAGGUAGUUGGUGGGGUAAAGGCUCACCAAGCCGACGAUCUGUAGCUGGUCGGAGAGGACGACCAGCCACACGGGGACUGAGACACGGCCCAGACUCCUACGGGAGGCAGCAGUGGGGAAUUUUGGACAAUGGGCGCAAGCCUGAUCCAGCAAUGCCGCGUGCAGGAAGAAGGCCUUCGGGUUGUAAACUGCUUUUGUACGGAGCGAAAAGGCUCCCUCUAAUACAGGGGGCUCAUGACGGUACCGUAAGAAUAAGCACCGGCUAACUACGUGCCAGCAGCCGCCGUAA